GCGGCUUUCACACACCAGCAUCCUAUUGCCAAUCAGGACUGUUGAAGUUCAGUGAUGGCCUCUUUUCGUUGUCAGGAUGUUUAUUCACGUUGCCGCUUCUCCUGCCUAGCUUCUCUGCACUUUCACAAAUUCCUCAGUAAAUUCACCAAAACGUCACCGUGGAGUUCUUGAGUCUGUUUAGCUGAUUGGAGAGCAAUUUUCCGCAGCUAGUGGAUCCAUGACGAUGACUUCAGUUUUGUUGGAUCAGCCGUUUUACUGCCGUGUUACAGACACCGUUUGGAAACAAUUAAGGAAUGAAUGAGGCUUCAGUGUCACUCAAGUCAACCAAAGGACAAUUCUCUGUAGAGCAAAGGAGAGGAAAAUGAAGUUUAGGUGGAGUUAAAAAACAAACAAAAAAACAUGAUGACUUUCCUG
This is a long non-coding RNA of Nerophis lumbriciformis (worm pipefish), 414 nucleotides long. RefSeq lists it as uncharacterized. Lineage: Eukaryota; Metazoa; Chordata; Actinopteri; Syngnathiformes; Syngnathidae. The record is from RefSeq and is a predicted model, not a curated record.